GGUAGCGUGUCCGAGUGACGUAAGGCGCUGGUUUUACGCACCAGUCAUUUCGAUGACGUGGGUUCGAAUCCCACCGCUGCCA
RNAcentral lists this transfer RNA (82 nucleotides) under Paramuricea clavata. It matches the Rfam family "tRNA". Rfam says of the family: Transfer RNA (tRNA) molecules are approximately 80 nucleotides in length. Lineage: Eukaryota; Metazoa; Cnidaria; Anthozoa; Malacalcyonacea; Plexauridae. The record is from Rfam by way of RNAcentral.